GGACAGGUAUGUUAUUCCUUUUCUUGUACUGUUGUGUCUCCAUCUUUAUGAAUUUUUUGGUUAAUUAAUUGAGCAUCUUUAAACACAGUCAAUAGGAAAUAUUUACAAAGUGAUGGGGUUUGUGUUGCAGUUGAGCUAUUCCUGCAUAUGGUUGCCUUUAAACUUUGGGACCAUUUGUAUUCCCUUUUGGUAACAUCAUCUUUUAAAGACUAGAUUAGAGCUAGUUGGUUCCUUCUCUUGUUUACUUGAAUGGUUGAAGUGGAUAUCAUCUAAAAGUAGAGACUGUACCAAAUAUGAAUUGCUUUCUUCUUCAUGAGGAGUAAGGAGAUUGAUUGACAUAAAUAAGCCAUCUAAGUAGAAGAUGAACUACAAACCAUAAUAAAUGGAACCAACCAGAAAAAAAAAUGAAGGUUAGUUGCUUUAGUGCAAGGCAGCGCUGUUGCAUCAAGUGAAUACCCUUUUUGUUUCCUAAAAAAUUAUUGCAAUUACAAUCUGGCCAGUUUUUCUUAUUUUUCUUCAAUAUGGUUCUUGUUUAUGUUAAACAAGUGGUUUUAUUAGAUAUAUGAACCAUGACCUUUCAGAUAUUAUUACUGUAACAUGAAUACAUGACUAUUUAUAUUACUCUUCCUAAGACAUUAAAGUGCACUUGAUCUUUAAUUGCUUUAGUUUUUGCUCAAAUUUCUGUGUUUAUUUUCUGUAUAUUCAUGUCUUUUUUCUAUCUAUUUGUAGAGCCAAUUGGCAGGAAAAUUAG
This 751-nucleotide unclassified non-coding RNA is filed under the name Hevea brasiliensis (rubber tree). The record is from RNAcentral. Lineage: Eukaryota; Viridiplantae; Streptophyta; Magnoliopsida; Malpighiales; Euphorbiaceae.